AAGAUUAAAGAGAAUUCCUUUGUUUUUCAAAUGAAUACCGUCGUGUUUUACGCCUUUAUCUAAAUUUUGUCUAAUUUUUGUUAAAAAGUCGUCCAAAGAAUAAUCUAAGCUGAUCAAACUUAAUAGUAGUUAUUAUAUCAAUUAAUAAGUUUUCAACAUCCAUAAUAAAAUGGGAAGAAUUUUUCUGGAGCAUAUGGGCGGCAAUCGAUUAUUUUGUUGCGCCAGAUGCGACACAAAUCUAACUAACCGGUCGGAACUAAUUAGUACCCGAUUUACCGGAGCCACUGGGAGAGCUUUCCUUUUCAAUCGAGUAGUAAAUUUAACGUACAGCGAGGUCCAGGAUAGGGUAAUGCUUACCGGCCGUCAUAUGGUACGAGAUGUUUCUUGUAAAUCCUGCGACUCUAAACUGGGAUGGAUGUACGAGUUCGCAACGGAAGACAAUCAGAAAUACAAAGAAGGCCGCGUUAUAUUAGAGAGGGCGCUGGUUACGGAAACCGAUGGAAUAGACGAAAGAAGAUACUACGUGAGACAGGAUAAUUAGAGGAAUUAUAUGGAGAAUGCAAUUUGAGACAAGCGUAUAAAAGUUGUUUUUAGUAGAAAUACCGUGGGUUAGUAGGUAUAUACAGGGAUGUUGUUUUGUAAAGAUUGAGAUAAAUAAGUACCCGAAAUAUAUGACGUGAAGAGGCUUUAUUAGAGGAAGCUUAGAACAUAACUAAUCAAUUAGUAUUAAUUAAUAAUAUAUAAGUAUCUGCAGCAGAUCUCCUAAAGAAACCGUUAUCAAUUUACUUUGUAAUCUUAUUAAUUUAUAUGGACAUGAAAUUGAAGAAUUUUAUACGAAAAAAAUCCAGUAUUUUUAAAUAUCUUCUGAUUUUGUUCACGUUACCUAGUUACAACCUGUAUAAUAAUUUAUGUAUUGUUUAAACAUAAUAUACAUAGUGAUCUAAGAUACCAAAUGAUCGGUAAGUUUUAUGACCAAUUUAAAAAUAUCUAUCUAUCUAGUGUAUUUUUUGUUAUGAUAAAUACAGAGUUCGCCUCGGUUGAUUAUACGAAAAUGGAAAGAUUUAGAAACAAAAUCUUUUAGGGGUAUAUGAGGGAAGGGCAAUGUGCAUAAUUUAAAAGUAUUUUGAAACGUACAAGGUAUGUCAGAACUAAGAUCCACACCAAAGUGUUAUGGAAUACCCAUCAGUAUAUUUAAAAUAGAUCCAGCAAUUUUUGGUACCCCUGUAUGUGUGUAAGGAGGCGCUAAAAUUUUUCAGUAAAGGUUAUAUAUCAUUAGCACAAGAAUUAAUUCUGAAAAGUAAUGU
Molecule: long non-coding RNA, 1304 nt
Organism: Sitophilus oryzae (rice weevil)
Lineage: Eukaryota; Metazoa; Arthropoda; Insecta; Coleoptera; Curculionidae
Exons: 3
Source: RefSeq, a predicted model, not a curated record